This 70-nucleotide transfer RNA is filed under the name Ictidomys tridecemlineatus (thirteen-lined ground squirrel). RNAcentral's name for it is "Spermophilus tridecemlineatus (thirteen-lined ground squirrel) tRNA". It matches the Rfam family "tRNA". From Rfam's summary of the family: Transfer RNA (tRNA) molecules are approximately 80 nucleotides in length. Their secondary structure includes four short double-helical elements and three loops (D, anti-codon, and T loops). Further hydrogen bonds mediate the characteristic L-shaped molecular structure. tRNAs have two regions of fundamental functional importance: the anti-codon, which is responsible for specific mRNA codon recognition, and the 3' end, to which the tRNAs corresponding amino acid is attached (by aminoacyl-tRNA synthetases). tRNAs cope with the degeneracy of the genetic code in two manners: having more than one tRNA (with a specific anti-codon) for a particular amino acid; and 'wobble' base-pairing, i.e. permitting non-standard base-pairing at the 3rd anti-codon position. RNAcentral also lists the same sequence under 1 other name. Lineage: Eukaryota; Metazoa; Chordata; Mammalia; Rodentia; Sciuridae. The record is from Rfam by way of RNAcentral.
GGGGAUAUAGCUCAGUUAGUAGAGUGCUUGCCUCAAAUGCACAAGGCCCUGGGUUCAAUCCCCAGCACCA